This 440-nucleotide ribosomal RNA is filed under the name uncultured bacterium. RNAcentral describes it as "partial 16S ribosomal RNA". It matches the Rfam family "Bacterial small subunit ribosomal RNA", at positions 338 to 795 of the family's 1533-position model. The record is from RNAcentral.
CCUACGGGAGGCAGCAGUAGGGAAUAUUGGUCAAUGGGGGAAAGCCUGAAGCAGCAACGUCGCGUGGAGGAUGACGGCUCUCGGAGUGUUAACCCCUUUUGUUAGAGAAGAUAAUGACGGUAUGUAACGAAUAAGCACCGGCUAACUCCGUGCCAGCAGCCGCGGUAAUACGGCGGGUGCCAGCGUUACUCGGAAUCACUGGGCGUAAAGAGCGCGUAGGCGGGAUAGCAAGUCAGAUGUGAAAUCCUAUGGCUUAACCAUAGAACUGCAUUUGAAACUGUUAUUCUAGAGUAUGGGAGAGGUAGGUGGAAUUCGUGGUGUAGGGGUAAAAUCCGUAGAUAUCAAGAAGAAUACUGAUUGCGAAGGCGACCUACUAGAACAUAACUGACGCUGAUGCGCGAAAGCGUGGGGAUCAAACAGGAUUAGAUACCCCUGUAGUC